Monodelphis domestica (gray short-tailed opossum) is the source of this 101-nucleotide small nuclear RNA. The record is from Ensembl. NCBI's taxonomy places the organism in Eukaryota, Metazoa, Chordata, Mammalia, Didelphimorphia, Didelphidae.
AUCCUGAUGGCAGCACAUAGACUAAAACUGGAAUGAUACAGAGAAGAUUAGCAUGGCUCCUGUGCAAGGAUGACACGCAGCAAGUUGCUGUAGAGACUCAU